GGUUGUUUGGCCGAGCGGUCUAAGGCGCCUGAUUCAAGAAAAUUAAACAUCUUGCCUGUGGAACACCACUGGAAUACUCAGGUAUCGUAAGAUGCAAGAGUUCGAAUCUCUUAGCAACCA
Molecule: transfer RNA, 120 nt
Organism: Naumovozyma castellii
Lineage: Eukaryota; Fungi; Ascomycota; Saccharomycetes; Saccharomycetales; Saccharomycetaceae
Rfam family: tRNA
About the family: Transfer RNA (tRNA) molecules are approximately 80 nucleotides in length. Their secondary structure includes four short double-helical elements and three loops (D, anti-codon, and T loops).
Source: Rfam